GCGAUUACAGGUACGGGCUCUGAGAGGAGAAGCCCGGAGAUGGGUACUGAGACACGGACCCAGGCCCUAUGGGGCGCAGCAGGCGAGAAAACUUUGCAAUGUGCGCAAGCACGACAAGGUUAAUCCGAGUGAUUUCUGCUAAAGAAAUCUUUUGCCAGUCAUAAAACCACUGGUGAAUAAGGGGUGGGCAAGUUCUGGUGUCAGCCGCCGCGGUAAAACCAGCACCUCAAGUGGUCAGGAUGAUUAUUGGGCCUAAAGCAUCCGUAGCCGGCUUUGUUAGUUUUCGGUUAAAUCCAUGUGCUCAACACAUGGGCUGCCGAAAAUACUGCAUAGCUAGGGAGUGGGAGAGGUAGACGGUACUCAGUAGGAAGGGGUAAAAUCCUUUGAUCUAUUGAUGACCACCUGUGGCGAAGGCGGUCUACCAGAACACGUUCGACGGUGAGGGAUGAAAGCUGGGGGAGCAAACCGGAUUAGAUACCC
This 480-nucleotide ribosomal RNA is filed under the name uncultured archaeon. RNAcentral's name for it is "bacterial SSU rRNA". It matches the Rfam family "Archaeal small subunit ribosomal RNA", at positions 257 to 738 of the family's 1478-position model. The record is from RNAcentral.